UACAGGGGGAGCAAGCGUUGUUCGGAUUUACUGGGCGUAAAGGGCGCGUAGGCGGCGCGACAAGUCACUUGUGAAAUCUCCGGGCUUAACUCGGAGCGGCCAAGUGAUACUGUCGUGCUAGAGUGCGGAAGGGGCAACUGGAAUUCACGGUGUAGCAGUGAAAUGCGUAGAUAUCGUGAGGAACACCAGAGGCGAAGGCGGCUACCUGGACAAUUGCUGACACUCAGGCACGAAAGCGUGGGGAGCAAAAGGG
RNAcentral lists this ribosomal RNA (253 nucleotides) under uncultured bacterium. Its description in RNAcentral is "partial 16S ribosomal RNA". It matches the Rfam family "Bacterial small subunit ribosomal RNA", at positions 524 to 776 of the family's 1533-position model. The record is from RNAcentral.